AGAGAGAGACAUGCGCGCAUAUCAAUAAGCGGAGGAAAAGAAACUAACAAGGAUUCCCCUAGUAACGGCGAGUGAAGCGGGAAGAGCUCAAAUUUGAAAUCUUAAAGGGUUUCCCUUUACGAAUUGUAGUUUAAAGAAGUGUUUUCUGUUGAGGUUUUGGUAAAAGUUCUUUGGAAUAGGACAUCAUAGAGGGUGAGAAUCCCGUAUUUGACCUUUACUUUCAACUUUGUGAUACACUUUCAAGGAGUCGGAUUGUUUGGGAAUGCAGUCCAAAAUGGGUGGUAAAUUUCAUCUAAAGCUAAAUAUUGGCGAGAGACCGAUAGCGAACAAGUACCGUGAGGGAAAGAUGAAAAGAACUUUGAAAAGAGAGUUAAACAGUACGUGAAAUUGUCAAAAGGGAAGCGUUUGACACCAGUGUUGUUUUUCUGAAAAUCAAUUAAAGAACUGUUUAUGCUAAGUUGUUUAGACUUUAUCAGCUAACUGUUUAGUUUUGAGCUUUUCUUUAAUGCACUUUUCAGUUAACAAGUCAACAUCAAUUUCUUUUGCUGUAAAAAAGCUUGAGGAAGGUGGCUUGAGAUUCGUCUUAAGUGUUUAUAGCCUCUUGCCUAUGCAGUCGGAGAGAUUGAGGUCUGCAGCGUAGAUCCUUCGGGGCUAAAUGCAUUUGUGCUAAGUUAUAGCAUUUUAUAGACAACUUGUUGACUAUGAUUUGUCUUGUAGCUUACUCGCUUAUGUUAUUUUACCUACGCUUAGGAUGUUGACGCAUGAGAUAUACGC
Molecule: ribosomal RNA, 774 nt
Filed under: uncultured Neocallimastigales
Lineage: Eukaryota; Fungi; Neocallimastigomycota; Neocallimastigomycetes; Neocallimastigales
Description: partial large subunit ribosomal RNA
Rfam family: Eukaryotic large subunit ribosomal RNA
Source: RNAcentral